GUCAUUGUAACUGUACAUUAAAUAGAUCUUGAUGAUUGCAUUAGAUGUGCCACCCUCAAACCUUGCUAUGAUGUCGGCGCAUUACCUGUCUGAUG
Small nucleolar RNA from Heterocephalus glaber (naked mole-rat), 95 nucleotides. The record is from Ensembl. Lineage: Eukaryota; Metazoa; Chordata; Mammalia; Rodentia; Bathyergidae.